AUUGAACGCUGGCGGCAGGCCUAACACAUGCAAGUCGAGCGGAUGAGAGGAGCUUGCUCCUCGAUUCAGCGGCGGACGGGUGAGUAAUGCCUAGGAAUCUGCCCAGUAGUGGGGGACAACGUUUCGAAAGGAACGCUAAUACCGCAUACGUCCUACGGGAGAAAGUGGGGGAUCUUCGGACCUCACGCUAUUGGAUGAGCCUAGGUCGGAUUAGCUAGUUGGUAGGGUAAAGGACUACCAAGGCGACGAUCCGUAACUGGUCUGAGAGGAUGAUCAGUCACACUGGAACUGAGACACGGUCCAGACUCUUACGGGAGGCAGCAGUGGGGAAUAUUGGACAAUGGGCGCAAGCCUGAUCCAGCCAUGCCGCGUGUGUGAAGAAGGCCCUCGGGUCGUAAAGCACUUUAAGUUGGGAGGAAGGGCUUACAGCGAAUACCUGUGAGUUUUGACGUUACCGACAGAAUAAGCACCGGCUAACUUCGUGCCAGCAGCAGCCGCCG
This 500-nucleotide ribosomal RNA is filed under the name uncultured bacterium. RNAcentral's name for it is "partial 16S ribosomal RNA". It matches the Rfam family "Bacterial small subunit ribosomal RNA", at positions 30 to 523 of the family's 1533-position model. The record is from RNAcentral.